Hyaena hyaena (striped hyena) is the source of this 117-nucleotide long non-coding RNA. RefSeq lists it as uncharacterized. The record is from RefSeq and is a predicted model, not a curated record. Lineage: Eukaryota; Metazoa; Chordata; Mammalia; Carnivora; Hyaenidae. The transcript has 3 exons.
UGCCAGUCUGGCAGGGUCGGGAAGGUCAGAGCCUUAGGACCCACUUUCCUGUCUUACCCGAUGUUUUCCUGCCGGAACACCGUGGGUGGGUAAUUGCCUUGAGUAGAUGGGAAGAGC